Long non-coding RNA from Oryzias melastigma (Indian medaka), 652 nucleotides. RefSeq lists it as uncharacterized. The transcript is spliced from 2 exons. The record is from RefSeq and is a predicted model, not a curated record. Lineage: Eukaryota; Metazoa; Chordata; Actinopteri; Beloniformes; Adrianichthyidae.
AGGGGUUGACCCAUCGGGGUGCAGAGGGUCGUAAGAGGAGUGCAGAUGUGUCUUGUGGUUCUCUUGAAGCUGUACGUGCUAUGUCUACGUAAGCUGGCAAAAAGGCAGGUAAACGAGAAAAUGUCCAGACCUCGUCUGCAGUUAUGGCCUUGGACUUUUCCACCUUUACAGAUGACUGGAACGCUAGAAAACAGGACGGCCUGCAUGCUGACCAACUUCAUCAGCAGAACAGAAAUGUGGAAAAGCAAACAGAAUGGGGAAUGAAAAAUGAAUCUGAAAUGACAAGAACUGUAGUUUGUAUUCUCCUUGGCUUUACAAAGCUAACUGAUGCAGAAGGUGCUGGGAGUCAGAUCCAUCUAAGUUCUGGGAGGGAAAGCGGAUUUUCAACUCUAAUCUCAGCACUUUCCAGUAAAGAAAUAUAGCUCCUGAGAACAAAGAAGUUUUAUAAAUCAGAGUAAGAUGAAGAAUGCAGUAGUUUGGCAUAUUGAACAGCUCUGGCCUAUCAUGAAUCAAUAUUGGGCAUUCAGCCAGCAAGCCAGCUCGAUUACAACAGCAGUUAAUGUCACUGUCCAGAGCAUCCAUCCUUUUUUAUAAUUAAACUAUUGUGUUGUGUGUAAAUAAAAAGCUUGAACAAAUAAAUCAUUGACAUACA